Molecule: long non-coding RNA, 963 nt
Organism: Patella vulgata (common limpet)
Lineage: Eukaryota; Metazoa; Mollusca; Gastropoda; Patellidae
Exons: 4
Source: RefSeq, a predicted model, not a curated record
GAUGUAAAUUUCCAGCUAACCAAACUUAUAUCAGUUAAUUGGAAAGUAGGAGAUCCAGAAUCAGGAGUAGAAUAUUGUCAUUGGGCUAUAGGUUCAAGGCACGGCGGUGUUGAUAUACAGCCAUUUACUCCUGUACCAGAUAAACAAUCAUUUGUUCAAGUUGAACUCAGUGUUAAUCAAAUACAGAACUCUAAACAAGUUUAUUCUACUGUAAGAUGUUAUAAUAAAGCUGGUUUACCAACUACAGCUACUACCGAUGGCGUUCUGGUUAUAAUCAAAAUGGCUGCCAUAGCAGACGGUCAGAUCGCCAUUGAUGAAGAUGGAGUAUCCGCAUAUUCGGUGAGGAUGAUUGUUAUCCAUUGACUGAUAGUUUACGAUUAAAAUGGGAUUUAGAAAAUACCAGAAUUGAUACCAAGUCUAUACAGGUAUCGGUGUAUGGUCCAGGUUAUAAUUUAGAUAAAGAAGUUCGAGUUACAGAGAUUAGUUAUAACCAGGCUAAAUUAAGAAGUUUAUCACUACAACCUAACUCUAACUAUAAUGUUAGUGUAUCUACCAUUAGUGUAUUAGGAAAGCAAGACAAUUCUAUAUCAACAGUAAUAUCAUCUGUAGCACAACCACCUAUUUUACAAGCGGGUUCAAAAUUACUAAUUGCCAGAUCAUUUGAUGGGAAAUCAAUGGAAAUGUCAUGGAGAGAUUUAUUUACGUCCCCAUGGAAGAACCUGUAUUAUGAAGUCAGUUUAGGAACUUCGCUAGGAGGAGCGGACGUUAUACAAUGGCAAGAGACAAAAGUUGCUUCCAUUACCAUUGAAAUGCCUGAUAUAUCGAAGUUACCAAGAAUAUAUUUAACAAUAACAGCUGUGGACCCCUGCGGUCUUUUCCUACAUUAUAAUCAUACCAUUGUACUUUAACAAACUGAAAUUAUUAUUUAAAAUUAUCUUUGUAGAUAGUUUCUACAAUAUUACC